Molecule: long non-coding RNA, 1136 nt
Filed under: Anas platyrhynchos platyrhynchos (common mallard)
Lineage: Eukaryota; Metazoa; Chordata; Aves; Anseriformes; Anatidae
Description: lncRNA (ENSAPLG00000023169.1)
Source: RNAcentral
CCCGCAGGCUGUCCCACCUCUCGCUGCGCAAUAAUGGCCUCGGUGACGAGGCGGCGCGGCUGCUGGGGCUGAGCCUCUCCACCCUCGGCUCCUCCAACCGCAGCCUGGUCUCGCUGGUGCUCAGCUUCAACCACAUCUCGGAUUUGGGAGCGGGGCACAUCGCCCAGGUGGGGGCUAUGGGGUGGGCGAGGGGGGGCCCCGCUGUCUGUGUGCCCCCCCCCCUUCCCCUCUCAGCUUUUUCUGUGCGCCCCCCAUCCCCAAGGGUUUGCGCUGGAACCGCUCGCUGCUGUCGCUGUCCCUGGCGCACAAUGACAUUGGGGAUGAGGGGGCUCUGCGGCUGGCUCAGGUGCUGGCUCCUUUCGCUCUGACGCACGCCGAGGUGGUGGAACGGCGGCGGCUGCUGCUGGCGGAGGCCAUGGAGAAGCCCCAGGCGCCCGAGGGCAGGAGCGAGCGCGCCCCGAGCCUGCAGAGCGGCGCGGCCACCGAGAGGCUGCUCCCGGCCAAGCACAGCAAGAGCACGGCCAAAAAGAAGGAGCUGCCGCGGAAGGACGAGCUGAAACAGCCCAAAAAAUCUGUGACAGCCCCUGCAGACCCCCGGCCCCCCCGAAGCCGCAGUGCCAAAGCCACCAGCAAGGAGAAGCGCAGCUCGGAGGCGCAGGAUGCGGCCGAGCCCUCGCACCCGCUGCUGGAGCCGGCGUGGCACCGCCAGGGCCAGGUCGUGGUGCCGGGGAACCGAGCGCUGCUCAACCUCAACCUGUGCCAUAACCGCAUCACGGAGCGGGGGCUGGCUGCUUUCCUGGCUGUGCUGCAGGAGGAGCAGCCGGGGGGGGGGCACGGGGAGGCCGGGGCUGCUGCGCCUCUCGCUGCAGAGGAACCGCUUCAAUCCCACCUGCGAGGCUUUCGCCCAGCUCCAGGAGCUGCUGCAGCGGCGCGACCCCGUCCCCAAACCGCGGGAGGAGCAGGCGCCGGGUCCUUAAAGCAGGAUUCGGGGCUCUUUUUUGGGGUGAAAAACCCCAAAAAAAGGCAAAACCGAAAAAUCUUGACUGUGGGGAGGAAGGAAAUAAAGCACCGUGCACAGGAUUGAACAGCAACCGGUCGGGCUUGGCUCUAUUAUAUAUAAUAUAUAUACCACACCC